AUCACAGGUCCUUCAGCUCCUCUGCUACUAGACGCCAUAAUGGAGGAGGAGGAGGAACAGCAGCGCGAUGCAGGAGCAGAUGGAUUCAGGAGGAGAAAUCACCAAGAGAGAUGUCCCUGUCCUCUGUAUUCCCAGGACUGUCCAGAGGAGAAGCUCCCAGAGAACCAUCAGGCUGAAAAUCUGAUGGAUAUUAAGGUUGUGGUUUUUGAUGAAUCGGAAGAGGAGACAAAUGUAUGGGGCGAUCAA
Long non-coding RNA from Bufo gargarizans (Asiatic toad), 246 nucleotides. RefSeq lists it as uncharacterized. NCBI's taxonomy places the organism in Eukaryota, Metazoa, Chordata, Amphibia, Anura, Bufonidae. The record is from RefSeq and is a predicted model, not a curated record. The transcript has 3 exons.